GACGUAGGGUGCAGGCGUUGUCCGGAUUUACUGGGCGUAAAGAGCGCGUAGGCGGCUCGUUAAGUGUGCAGUGGAAUCUCUAGGGCUCAACCCAGAAACUGCUUUACAUACUGGCGAGCUGGAGUGAUGCAGAGGUUUGUGGAAUUCCUGGUGUAGCGGUGAAAUGCGUUGAUAUCAGGAGGAACACCGAUGGCGAAGGCAGCAAACUGGGCAUCAACUGACGCUGAGGCGCGAAAGCGUGGGGAGCGAACAGG
This 254-nucleotide ribosomal RNA is filed under the name uncultured bacterium. Its description in RNAcentral is "partial 16S ribosomal RNA". It matches the Rfam family "Bacterial small subunit ribosomal RNA", at positions 524 to 776 of the family's 1533-position model. The record is from RNAcentral.